Molecule: ribosomal RNA, 439 nt
Filed under: uncultured bacterium
Lineage: Bacteria
Description: bacterial SSU rRNA
Rfam family: Bacterial small subunit ribosomal RNA
Source: RNAcentral
AACGCGAAGAACCUUACCUGGGUUUGAAAUACAGAGGACGUUGUCAGAGAUGGCAAUUCUCGAAAGGGUCUCUGUACAGGUGCUGCAUGGCUGUCGUCAGCUCGUGCCGUGAGGUGUUGGGUUAAGUCCCGCAACGAGCGCAACCCUUAUUACCAGUUGCCAUCAUUCAGUUGGGCACUCCGGUGAGACCGCCUCGGAUAACGGGGAGGAAGGCGGGGAUGACGUCAAGUCCUCAUGGCCUUUAUGUCCAGGGCUACACACGUGCUACAAUGGCCGGUACAAACCGUCGCAAACCCGCGAGGGGGAGCUAAUCGGAAAAAGCCGGCCUCAGUUCGGAUUGCAGUCUGCAACUCGACUGCAUGAAGCUGGAAUCGCUAGUAAUCGCGGAUCAGAACGCCGCGGUGAAUACGUUCCCGGGCCUUGUACACACCGAGACGAC